This 66-nucleotide transfer RNA is filed under the name Diplodactylus galeatus (helmeted gecko). RNAcentral describes it as "tRNA-Trp". Lineage: Eukaryota; Metazoa; Chordata; Lepidosauria; Squamata; Diplodactylidae. The record is from RNAcentral.
AGACACUUAGGUUAAACAAACCAGGGGCCUUCAAAGCCCCAAAUAGGGACCACCCCCUAGUUUCUG